Molecule: small nuclear RNA, 23 nt
Filed under: Arabidopsis thaliana (thale cress)
Lineage: Eukaryota; Viridiplantae; Streptophyta; Magnoliopsida; Brassicales; Brassicaceae
Description: snRNA_05829
Source: RNAcentral
UGAAAGCAGACGAUUUCGGACGG